UUUAAAGAAGGAAGCACUGUAAGCAAAAGUUAGACGACAGUAGCUGUUGCAUAUCUGUAGAAUCUCAACAUACAACUGUUGUUGUUGUUGUUCUUCUUCUUCUUUUCCUCCUCCCUUUCAUUUUGUCUCUUUCUCUUAAAAACACACAGC
RNAcentral lists this non-coding RNA (150 nucleotides) under Bigelowiella natans. The record is from RNAcentral. Lineage: Eukaryota; Cercozoa; Chlorarachniophyceae.